This is a long non-coding RNA of Homo sapiens (human), 473 nucleotides long. NCBI's taxonomy places the organism in Eukaryota, Metazoa, Chordata, Mammalia, Primates, Hominidae. The record is from Ensembl.
GCCCGUGUCAUUAAGAGAGAGACUUUUAUUAUUCCCAUAGGGAAGGGGGACACUGGGGAUCACUAAACUACAGUGGUGCCUGGAAAAUAAAUUAAAACAGAAAUGCAUCAAAACAAAAGGGAGAUUGGAGACACGGAGAGCAGCUGGGAGGCUGCGGUGGCGGGCGGGCCCGCCCAGGCAGGCAGGCUCUCCGAGGAGAAGGCCAAGUGGUCCCAGGCCUCAGCCAGCCCAUUGCUUGUCCCUCUGUCAAUGGCGGCCCCGGGCUUCAAGCCCUGUGGGGCCAUGACUCCAGGCCUCCCCAAAGCCUGGCCAGGGAGCUUUCUUAGCAACCUCAUGUAGCUCUCUCCCACCCCUCAUCAGAGGCUGGAGCUGGGCAGGUGGGGGGCCUUGUCCCUCAGGUGCCAGCUCCUCAGGGUAGUCCGAAAUCCACCAGUGAGACCUCAUUCUCCUUGGACAGACAAGGACAGGGAGGA